UACGGAGGGUGCGAGCGUUGUCCGGAAUCACUGGGCGUAAAGGGCGCGUAGGUGGUCCCUUAAGCGUGUGGUGAAAGCUCGGGGCUCAACCUCGAGUCGGCCAUGCGAACUGGGGGGACUGGAGCACUGUAGAGGCAGGUGGAAUUCCGGGUGUAGCGGUGGAAUGCGUAGAGAUCCGGAAGAACACCGGUGGCGAAGGCGGCCUGCUGGGCAGUUGCUGACACUGAGGCGCGAAAGCUAGGGGAGCGAACAGG
Molecule: ribosomal RNA, 254 nt
Filed under: uncultured bacterium
Lineage: Bacteria
Description: partial 16S ribosomal RNA
Rfam family: Bacterial small subunit ribosomal RNA
Source: RNAcentral